GACGAACGCUGGCGGCGUGCCUAACACAUGCAAGUCGAACGGAGUUAAGAAGGAGCUUGCUUCAUCUUAACUUAGUGGCGGACGGGUGAGUAACGCGUGAGUAACCUGCCUUUCAGAGGGGGAUAACGUCUGGAAACGGACGCUAAUACCGCAUGACAUUUCUGUGCCGCAUGACAUAGAAAUCAAAGGAGCAAUCCGCUGAGAGAUGGACUCGCGUCCAAUUAGCUAGUUGGUGAGAUAAAGGCCCACCAAGGCGACGAUCGGUAGCCGGACUGAGAGGUUGAACGGCCACAUUGGGACUGAGACACGGCCCAGACUCCUACGGGAGGCAGCAGUGGGGGAUAUUGCACAAUGGAGGAAACUCUGAUGCAGCAACGCCGCGUGAGGGAAGAAGGUCUUCGGAUUGUAAACCUUUGUCCUUGGUGAAGAAAAGAAUGACGGUAGCCAAGGAGGAAGCUCCGGCUAACUACGUGCCAGCAGCCGCGGUAAUACGUAGGGAGCAAGCGUUGUCCGGAU
RNAcentral lists this ribosomal RNA (516 nucleotides) under uncultured bacterium. RNAcentral's name for it is "bacterial SSU rRNA". It matches the Rfam family "Bacterial small subunit ribosomal RNA", at positions 28 to 550 of the family's 1533-position model. The record is from RNAcentral.